GACGAACGCUGGCGGCGUGCCUAAUACAUGCAAGUUGAGCGAUGAAGAUUGGUGCUUGCACCAAUUUGAAGAGCAGCGAACGGGUGAGUAACGCGUGGGGAAUCUGCCUUUGAGCGGGGGACAACAUUUGGAAACGAAUGCUAAUACCGCAUAACAACUUUAAACAUAAGUUUUAAGUUUGAAAGAUGCAAUUGCAUCACUCAAAGAUGAUCCCGCGUUGUAUUAGCUAGUUGGUGAGGUAAAGGCUCACCAAGGCGAUGAUACAUAGCCGACCUGAGAGGGUGAUCGGCCACACUGGGACUGUGACACGGCCCAAACUCCUACGGGAGGCAGCAGUAGGGAAUCUUCGGCAAUGGACGAAAGGCUGACCGAGCAACGCCGCGGGAGUGAAGAAGGUUUUCGGAUCGUAAAAAUCUGUUGGUAGAGAAGAACGUUGGUGAGAGUGGAAAGCUCAUCAAGUGACGGUAACUACCCAGAAAGGGACGGCUAACUACGUG
Molecule: ribosomal RNA, 497 nt
Filed under: uncultured bacterium
Lineage: Bacteria
Description: partial 16S ribosomal RNA
Rfam family: Bacterial small subunit ribosomal RNA
Source: RNAcentral